Molecule: ribosomal RNA, 253 nt
Filed under: uncultured bacterium
Lineage: Bacteria
Description: partial 16S ribosomal RNA
Rfam family: Bacterial small subunit ribosomal RNA
Source: RNAcentral
UACGGAGGGUGCAAGCGUUGCUCGGAAUUAUUGGGCGUAAAGGGUAGGUAGGUGGUCUUAUUUGUCUGGGGUGAAAGCCUCGAGCUUAACUCGAGAAGUGCCCCAGAAACGGUGAGACUAGAGUCUUGGAGAGGGUCGUGGAAUUCCCGGUGUAGCGGUGAAAUGCGUAGAGAUCGGGAGGAAUACCAGAGGCGAAGGCGGCUCACUGGCCCGGUACUGACGCUGAGGUGCGAAAGCGUGGGGAGCAAACAGG